UUCACGAUGAAUAUUUAAAUAUUUUAAAUAUAAAAAUUUGUAAAUUUUUUUAUCAUUACAAUUGGCAAUAAAUUUCUGAAUGUUUUAAACGUCGAGUGUACCAUGGAUCACCAUGACAGAAAACGAUCCUGAAGUCGCGCAUGCGCAAUAACAGUAAUUGUGAACAACAUAGGAGAGCGGAGAAUAUGUUUCGUUUUCCGACAAAUUACUUGUGAAAAUAAUGAAUUAUUAAUUGUAGUUUGAUGAAUGUCGCCAACAGAUUUGUUUCACGUUUCUUUCAUUUUUUAAAAGUAAUUAUUUUCUAUGUCUAUAUUAAUAUUACGUUACAAAGACGAGAAAUCAAUGAUCGAAUCGACGGGAUAAUUCAAUUACGCGCUCUGAAAAUUUCUAUCGGCGUGCAUUCGAUCGAAAAUAAAGUUAAUGAACUAUUUCUUUAUUUCGGAAAUAUUAAAUAUAAUUCAAUAUAAAAAAAUUCAUUUAUUCAUAUCUAAUUAACAAUUUAUGUCAAUUAAUAAUUUCAUAAAAUGGAAAAUUACUGUCAAUUCUUUUGAAUAGCGAAAAAUUUCCGAAUUCUAACCUAACUUUUACAAAUUGAAGAUUGCAAAUGUACGAUUGGCGGGAAAUUUUCGGAAAGUAUAAUUGAAUUUUUAUGAAUUUAAAAUUCCAGAUGAUAUUAAGAAACGAAAAUAUAACUUUUUAUCAUUUAUUUAUUAUUAUUUCAACCGAGAUACGACUUUAAACGACUUCGACACUUUGCCUCUUUAAUAUUCCAUCCAAGAUUCAAGAGAAAUGGAAGUUGAAACAGUGAUCAAAGAAGAUGUUCGAUCGUCUCGAAAAGAGAUAAUCAAGAUUCAUUUCGAAGAAGAAACUGAAGGAUACGGUUUUCAGACGUAUAAUUCACGAUCAAGAGGGAGCAUGAAAUUGGAGCGCGGCAAUCAGAAAUGGGACGUUCAUUGAAUUCGACCAGUAAAAGGGAAAGAGUGGGCACGACAAGGAGUAUAACACACAUUAUGAGAGGAAUCGAUAAGAACUGGGUUAACACGAUCAGUUAAAGCAGCAGACAUGCUUCUUUAACAUGACUGUUAUAUUUAAAAUGAUGAUUUUAAUCAGAUGGAAAAUUGAACAAUCCCCAUACGUUUUCCAAUCCAUUCCAUCUUUUUGAUGUCAUUCAUCUUUGUUCCUAUUAUCAGGGACAAAGAUUCAUUUUUCCUGGUACUGAUAAAUCUUUUUUCUUUUUUUAAGAAUCAAUCUUCAACAAAAAUUAGAAUGAAGGAUUGAAGAAGAAGAAUAAUAGGCUAUGAUUUUUUGAACAGAAUCAUCUUCUUGA
Apis mellifera (honey bee) is the source of this 1327-nucleotide long non-coding RNA. RefSeq lists it as uncharacterized. NCBI's taxonomy places the organism in Eukaryota, Metazoa, Arthropoda, Insecta, Hymenoptera, Apidae. The transcript has 2 exons. The record is from RefSeq and is a predicted model, not a curated record.